This is a long non-coding RNA of Lathyrus oleraceus (garden pea), 3450 nucleotides long. RefSeq lists it as uncharacterized. Lineage: Eukaryota; Viridiplantae; Streptophyta; Magnoliopsida; Fabales; Fabaceae. The record is from RefSeq and is a predicted model, not a curated record. The transcript has 7 exons.
UCGUCUUCUUCUCAUCUCUCUCACCUUGCGAACUCAACCUUCUCCAACAAUGGCCUUCUACCUCAGCAUCUCUAAAUCGAGAUCUUUCUCUGCUCUCAGUCGUCACCUCCCUUCGCUUAACCUCACUCGCUUCUCACAAUCUCUCAUUCGCUUUCAAGCGCUACCCACGAACUUUCUCACGCUCUCAACAAACUCUCUCAAGCGAAGAUUUCUCCCUGCUCUCAGAAUCACUAUCCCUCAAACUUACCCAAACGUCUCUCAAAUGCACUCAAACGAACCCUUUUUAAUCACUCUCAGCUCUCACAAAAAAAAUCAAACAACAAGCAUAAAGAGAGAGGAAGAGAGGUCCUUACAGAGUGUCACUGCAGUGGUGGUGAAGGAUGCGAAGAAACUGGCCUCCAGGGUUACAAAUUGGUGCCCUUGUGUUCAAAAGUAACUCUGCAAAAGCACUUUGGAUGCUCAGAAAUUGAAUUGCCCUAUCCAUGUUAGAUUCAAGAAAAGUAAAAGAAUGGUGAGCAUGGUUUGCUGCAACCUUGUGGAAUUGGCCUUGCAUUGCCCUGCUGGAUCCCUUCAUUCGGUUCAUCAGGUGGUAAGUGGCUAAGCAUGGUUUUUCUUAUGUGAGGCUCAUGUUGGUUUUGGCCACUGCAGGAUACAGGACCAAUGCAUUUGCUUCCAAAUUCAUGCCUCAAGGAUAACCAUUACAACGGGAUAGCAAGUCCUGUAAAUCCAAUGUGUUCAAUGACUUUGGAGGUGCAAGCUGGCGAGGUGAACUGAUAUUGUAAGUGCAUGGCAUGUCAGUUGCAGUAGGUUGGUUGUCGUUGGCGGCUAGCGUGGGUGGUUGAGUGGAAUCCGGUUCUACCAAGUUUGCUGCAUAAUGCUUCGGGUGCAGAGUUCUUGUGAUAUGCUCCCAUUUCACCCAUGUUCGGUGCUGGAUUUGCUUUUGCAGGGUUGCCUCUUGUUGGAGGAUAUGAAUUCUAGGACGUGUGUAUCGAAAGAUGUUGGUGCAUAUGUCAUGUUAGUUCCUGCAGUAUUUUAAAAUCUGAUGGCACAACGAUUCAAUUAUGUUCUCUUGUCGAAACAACCAUUUCAAGGAUGCCGUGUGAAUUCUUGUAGAAGAUAAAUCUUCUUUGCCAUUACUCAUGAGCUGGAAUAUGAUCUCCUCAUCUUCUUGACUAUAGUAAAUAUGGUAGUUCAUAUUGCCAAGACCCCUCAACAAACGGUAGAGGUCCAACAAUCGUGUCACCGUCAAAUUACCGGUUGUCUCAUCAUGAAAGUCAUUACUAUCGCUCAAAGAACCAACUUAUCAUCUGCAAGUCUUCUAUAGUGAACUGGUAUAUAUCCUUGGUAAAGCAGCAUAUUGACAAGGAUAAAAAAUAUGGAUUGUAUGUGCUCCUUUUCUCCGACAGAGAGAGCAAAUCAACAGGACCUGAAGGCAGAUGAGAAGAAGCCUCUUCAGUAAGUUUCCAUGCAACAGAUUUAUGGAAACUCAUCGGCAGCCUCAUGGGCAACACAGGUAUGCACCUGUCUAUCAAGACAAUAACUUUCUUCAGGAGAGGAACAAACCCUUAGAACAGUUGCAAUGGUGAAUUGGUCCGGCAACAGUCCACUCUGUAAUAAAUCAACAAGCCUCCUUAAAGAAUAUUCCUCUAAACCACUCAUAGCACAGUCAGAGACAAAUUGAUCUCGUUCCAUCCUCAUAACAUCCUCAUAACGGCAACGUGAAUCUGUUCUCCCAGUUCUAGCCGGUUAAAAUAGCAUAAACGUGAAGAGUCUCGGAAGCAGAUGGGGAAACAUAGAGGAGGCACAACUUGAAGAAGUGGAGUUGACAAUGGAUCUUUGAGCAGAUAACAAGGGUUGGCAAAUGAGGGAUUCAGAUCAUUAUUGGAUAUAAUUACGUGACAGAGGAAGCAGUAACAAUAAUAGAUGGUCGUCGGGUUCAUGGAUUAAUUCUUGAAGAAUUCCGUUGUAACCUUUUCAUGCAGGAAGUUAGUUUGCUGCCAGCGUUUGCCGUUAUAAGUGAUUCUCCUACAUUAGCUGUUGCAGAUGUCGGCUAUUGCGUCAUGAGCUACUAUGACUUAUAAUGCAGGGAAUAGUCAAUGCCAUACUUGCUGUUCAUGGUACAUCAUGGCGCUGAAUGAGAAAGCUUGGAACAUGGUGGACGAUCGGGGUUUUAAUGAUGCUUUGGUUAUUUACACUGAAUGUUUUUGGAUUCAGUUGGUUUCUUGUUACCCGUUGUUGCUGACUUGUUGUUACUGGUGCAUUGCAGGAUGCUUUGGUUUGCACUUGUAGGUUUGCCUUGUGACUUGCGUUUCCCGCAUUUCAGCGUGAACUCUACUUUUGGAUAGUAUCUCAAUCUCCGAUUGACGUUAUCUCAUACAUGUCGAGAAGGACAAACAGUUCUCCCGGUGACCUCUUGCUUCGGGUAACAACCUCUCCGAAACUAUGAAGGAUAGCGACGUUGUUGCCGGUGGCUUCAGCAAAGCAAGGAGUUUUUUUUUACAUACUCUUUACCAUCAAAUAUUUGAACACAGGUUUCUUUCUCCCCAUAAUCAGCAAUUUGGUAGGAUUUUUAUGAAAUGAAUCCAGUUUCCAAUCUUAUCCUUCAAACCUUUUAUUCUGUUUUUUGAACAUCCUUUAUACUCAGCCUAACAUGCUCAGACUUAUCUCCAGAACUGCAACACAGGUGUUUGUAUUUAUUAGAAAGAGUUGUGGUUGAUGGCCUGCUUGAACUAUGUGGGGUCUUGUAUCAUUUGGACUUAGCUCACGAUUUGCCAGCAACAUCAUAAGAUUUCUUCCACGACGCAAAACCGCUCAGGAACAACAACAGUUACGACAACAGUGGAACCAACAUUUUCUGGUGUAACAGGUUCCCAACUUCAUUCUUAAACCUCAAAUAAUUUAGUGAAGCUUUAUCUCUGUCAGCGCUUCCUCCCGCAUGACGCCGUAUUGAAACCGAUCAAGCUUAUGAUGGACAAUACUCGUGGCUGUUAUUCCACUUCUCGAAUCCUUGUUGAAAUUGAGAGAGAGAUUCCGACGAAGGCUUAUAGUGGAGUGCAUAAUGGAUAGCUUUGUAAUGGAAGAAACCAAGAAAAAUCAACAACAAACAUGAAGAUUGGGUGAUGUAUUGAAGAAAAAAAGGCCAAGCCAAGUUGGAUGGGCAAGAGCAAGUGAAAGUUGACUUUGGUCAAAGUUGACCAAAAGUCAAUUGUUUACCAAAGUCAACAAAUGGUCAAAAUGUAUUUUCUUUUUGAUUUCUUUGUAAAUGGAUAUUUAAAUGGAAAAUUAUGGGUAGAUUUUGGGUUUAAUGGACUUUGGUCAAAGUUGACCAAAAAAGUCAAUUGUUGACCAAAGUCAACAAUUGGUCAAAAGUGUCAAUUUUUUUAUUUUUCUUGUAUGGAAUCACAUGUACUGGUUUAAAAAUGGAUGAAAUGGAUUGGAAUGGUUUGAAAA